This 1373-nucleotide long non-coding RNA is filed under the name Ursus maritimus (polar bear). RNAcentral describes it as "lncRNA (ENSUMAG00000002650.1)". The record is from RNAcentral. Lineage: Eukaryota; Metazoa; Chordata; Mammalia; Carnivora; Ursidae.
GGAGUUCCCCGGGACUUUGCCCCACGGACGUCGCAGCCCCCCGGAGUGGAGGGGACGCCCCUGCUCUACCGCUGCGACGGGAGCCCGAGCUCAAGAACUGCCUGGAAUCGGCGCCUUUCCCGAAGAAAAGCAAACAGUAACUAACGCGCUCGGGGCCCGCGCAUCCUUCUAGCCCCCUGGGCUCGCAGCCUCCUUCCCAGCCUCCUGCACCCAAACCAACGCUGUGCUUCCAAAGCCUGCCAGAAGCGCCCCAAGGCGCGCGCUUCCCCCCCCUCCUUCCGCCUCCCCUCCCUUCCCCUCGCUAGCUUGGCCGGGUUCACCUCACACUGUCACCAAAUAACCUUAUUACCCCUCAGGACAGUCUUCACGAAAGUUGCUUGCCCUGGCACAGCGUUCUGCGCCCAGCUUGCCACAGGAUUGGGAUCUGCUCCGAAAAAUGCUUGCACCCAGUAAGCCUCUAGGGAAGCAGGGGUGAUAAUGACCACAUCAUUCCACUUAUACUGCGUGGAUAUCACACUCCAAUGGAGAAGCUCCUCCUGUGUGCUCCUGGAGCGCCCAUCCUCUAUCACAAUGAUGAAUGAUCAUGAACUGCUGCAAGAAGAGAUGAAAGCUGUAAUUGUGGGUAGCUAAACUUCCCAGUAUGCCCCUGGCCUUUCGUCACUCUGCAAAGUGACCCUCCUGUUUACGAUGGAACAACAUUCAUCAAGGACUUAGGGGUUAAGGAAUAAAGACAAAAACAAAGAUAAAAAGCUUAUAGAUGAGAAACUAGGCAUGUUUCCAGGGUGGAAGCUGUUUUGGAUGUCAUUAGACCGUCACUGAAGGAGACUUACGCUGGAGAGUUCACAUUUAACGUACAUGCAUCAGAAUUUGUGUGGAAGUUGAAACAGCCCAGGAAAUAUACCUAGAAUGAAGAGAAGGAGGACUGAGAAUGGAUCCUGGGCAACACCCAUAUUUAAGAGGCAGAUGACAAAAGCAAUGCUCCAUCCAGAGAAGAUGCACAACCAGCAGAGCCGGAGUCCAAACCCAAGCCUGUCUCUAUUAAGUGCUCUACUCCUUCUGGGCCUCUUCUACUUCAGACUUAGGUAUAAAUCAAGACCCUCACUUUAACCCCAUUUCUCUGAGCUCAGAUUGAAGCUUCCUAACAUAUGCAUAGAAAAGGAGGGGUGUAGGACAGGAGAAGCAAGGAAGAGUGAAGUAUCAAAUAUUAAACUUAGAAAUUGGGGCACCUGGGUGGCUCAGUUGUUUAAAUGUCUGCCUUUAGCUCAGGUCAUGAUCUCAGGGCCAUGGGAUCGAGCCCUGUUGUAGGGCUCCCUGCUCAGCGGGGAGUCUGCUUCCCCCUCUCCCUCUCCUCUGUGUUCUCUGUCUCUCAAAAU